AUACGAAAGGUGCAAGCGUUGUUCGGAUUUACUGGGCGUAAAGAGAGUGUAGGUUGUUUAUUAAGUCGGAUGUGAAAUCCCGGGGCUCAGCCUCGGAACUGCAUUCGAUACUGGUAGACUAGAGUUCGGGAGGGGUAAGCGGAAUUCCGUGUGUAGCAGUGAAAUGCGUAGAUAUACGGAGGAACACCUGAGGCGAAGGCGGCUUACUGGACCGAUACUGACACUGAGACUCGAAAGCGUGGGUAGCAAACAGGAUUAGAUACCCUAGUAGUCC
This 274-nucleotide ribosomal RNA is filed under the name uncultured bacterium. RNAcentral's name for it is "partial 16S ribosomal RNA". It matches the Rfam family "Bacterial small subunit ribosomal RNA", at positions 523 to 796 of the family's 1533-position model. The record is from RNAcentral.